AUAGAUUCUUACCAAUAUUGACUUAAUGUUUUUUAUAGAUAAAGAAAAAAGACAAAAAGAAAACUGCCCAAGGCCAAGGUCAAUUAAGGGACAUGGAAUAAAUACCCAUGAUCAGUUGCGUCAACAACUGAUCGCUCUCUCCUUCGCAGAGGCUUACAUUAAGUUUCUAUUGAGGGAAAAGUGAGCGCGCAAGGAGUGAUCGGAAAAGAGCUAAAUAAAGGAAGCCUCUGCGAGUUAAUGCAAUCAAUGUGGUGUCGUAUAUAAUCGUUUGUAGCGAAGUUCGAUCAACCAUCGGGGGUGUUAAAACAUGUUUUCGACUUUCAUUUUCAGGCGUACUUGAGUAUCCUUGGGUGAAUUCAAUAUCAAUAUCUUCUUCUGUCAAUUUGCAUCGAAAAAUAUUGAGAAAUUGCAGACGAAUAUCAAUGGAGACGAGCUAUCUAAUUAUAAAUAUCCUCUUAAUUGCAACAUUUCUUUAUAAAAAUGAC
This is a non-coding RNA of Paramuricea clavata, 485 nucleotides long. Lineage: Eukaryota; Metazoa; Cnidaria; Anthozoa; Malacalcyonacea; Plexauridae. The record is from the annotation of a GenBank genome assembly.